RNAcentral lists this ribosomal RNA (458 nucleotides) under uncultured bacterium. RNAcentral describes it as "partial 16S ribosomal RNA". It matches the Rfam family "Bacterial small subunit ribosomal RNA", at positions 338 to 795 of the family's 1533-position model. The record is from RNAcentral.
CCUACGGGAGGCAGCAGUGGGGAAUAUUGCACAAUGGGGGAAACCCUGAUGCAGCGACGCCGCGUGAGUGAAGAAGUAUUUCGGUAUGUAAAGCUCUAUCAGCAGGGAAGAAAUAGCGACCUUUGGGUCGCCAGACGGUAACUGAUGAAGAAGCCACGGCUAACUACGUGCCAGCAGCCGCGGUCAUACGUAGGGGGCAAGCGUUAUCCGGAUUUACUGGGUGUAAAGGGAGCGUAGACGGCAGCGCAAGUCUGAAGGGAAAUGCCGGGGCUUAACCCCGGAACUGCUUUGGAAACUGUGCAGCUAGAGUGCAGGAGAGGUAAGUGGAAUUCCUAGUGUAGCGGUGAAAUGCGUAGAUAUUAGGAGGAACACCAGUGGCGAAGGCGGCUUACUGGACUGUAACUGACGUUGAGGCUCGAAAGCGUGGGGAGCAAACAGGAUUAGAUACCCUUGUAGUC